GAAUACAACUGAGUUUUUGUGGGUUCCUGCAGGAUUUUGUGGGUUUCCUUACUACAGAAAAAAAUAAUUUUUUUGGAACCCUUGGAGUAAAGUCAACAGUCUCAUGAAUUCAGCAGGGGAGUAGAAGUACCAAAUAUAAUUCUACCUGUUUUGUGAAAUGGAUGACCAGCUACAGCAAGAAAAACUAUCUGUGCCUGCUUUUUCCCCAUGUUGUCUCCAGUAAUUCCUGAUAGCACUGCCA
Serinus canaria (Common canary) is the source of this 241-nucleotide long non-coding RNA. RefSeq lists it as uncharacterized. The record is from RefSeq and is a predicted model, not a curated record. NCBI's taxonomy places the organism in Eukaryota, Metazoa, Chordata, Aves, Passeriformes, Fringillidae. The transcript has 3 exons.